Molecule: RNA transcript, 2740 nt
Organism: Falco peregrinus (peregrine falcon)
Lineage: Eukaryota; Metazoa; Chordata; Aves; Falconiformes; Falconidae
Gene: CHEK2
Gene name: checkpoint kinase 2
Exons: 16
Source: RefSeq, a predicted model, not a curated record
UCGGGGCUGUGUUUGUUGGACUUGCCUGCAUUUCCGAACACCUCUGUAAAAAAAGUGACACAGAAAGUAAAGAGGAGGCUGUUAUGUUUUUAUGGCUAAUAAUGAAAGGUGGCAACCUGGCAAGGAGAUUUGAAUUAGUCUGGGUUAUACAUUGAGCUGUAUGGCAACCAGCUUGAAAAACAAGAUACACUGGUAAACCAAGGAAGCUAGCAGAUAGGUAAGUGCAGGUGAUCCCAGUGGAUGGCAGGGACCCUGGAAAGGCUCACGGACAUUAUAGUAGCCCCCUGGCAGGAUGAACACAGAUGCUGUUGGAGAAAGCCAGCUAUAAAGAUGAGUUGGCCAGUAGGUUGUUUAAGGUGGGGAGGAAGGCACGACGGAGUUGUAAAUUCCCCUGGCUUGACAGGGCAGGUAGGUGCUGUUUGUUGCCUUUUCUUGCUGCUGUCUUUGAUAGCCGCUGCUAGGGGUACGGUGUGUAUCUUUGAGUAGCAGUUUUGUACAUCAAUUAUGUAUAGACGCGAUAAAUCUCUUGGGCACUUUCAGCAUCAAGAAAACAUCGUUUUGUAGUUCGUAGUUUUCCUUGUUCUGUGUUUCCCUUUGUGCCUGGAGAGCUGCAAUGGUUACUGCUUUGUGUGGGGAUGAUUCGUCAGAGCAUGCUGCACAUGCGUUGGGGAAAUAAAGUGUGAGCCCUGAAGAGCUCGAGUGAAAAUCUGGGGAUAAGAUUUAACUGUUGUUUUGGAACCAGUAGAGGGAGUACCACGUGCUUUUUCAAAAGGAAAACCAUCAUGGUUUGCAAAAUGCUUGGGGAUUUACAUGUAAUGCACACAUGCAUGCUUUCCUGGAAAGUUUUGCUUUGAAGACUGAGAACAGACAUGGACAUUAAUAGUAUGGUGUGUCAGUUUUGCUUUGCUGUAGUAAUUGUUUUUAUUUAACAUUCUCUUUGAAGCCAACAUGUCUCGAGAGACUGGAAGUGAAGCGCAGCAGUCUCAAGGUGCUCAACAGUCACAAAGUGGUACCAGUUCCUCUUCCAGUGGGUCACAGAGUGCUAGUCAGUCUUCCUCAAGUUCUGGCACCGUCAGUUCUUUGGACACUGUUCCCACUCAGGAGCUUCCAUCGAUCCCCGAGGACCAGGAAUCUGAAGAACUUGUUCCUCAGCCUUGGGGUCGACUCUUCGCGCUUGGAAAAGGUUUCAGCAAUUGUGACUGUGUGAAUGAUGAAUACUGGUUUGGAAGAGACAAAAGCUGUGAUUAUAGUUUUUCUAAGCUAGGCUUGUCUGAGACUGGCUUCUACCAAAACUAUAGCAAGAAGCAUUUCCGAAUUUUCAGGGAAAUGGGUCCAAAAAAUUCCUAUGUUGCCUACAUUGAAGACCACAGCGCAAAUGGAACUUUUGUUAAUAGAGAGCUCGUUGGAAAAGGGAAGAAGCUUCCACUGACUCACAACUCUGAAAUUGCACUGUCUAUACAGACUAAUAAGGUGUUUGUAUUUUCUGAUCUUACGGUGGAUGAUCAGUUGGUGUUCCCUAGAGAACUCAGAGAGAAAUACAUCAUGUCAAAGACUCUGGGAAGUGGUGCCUGUGGAGAAGUCAAACUGGCAUUUGAGAAGAGCACUUGUAACAAAGUUGCGGUAAAGAUAAUCAAUAAGCGGAAGUUCAUGGCAAGUGGUAUUAGAGAGGCAAACCCAGCUUUUAAUAUCAAUACGGAAAUUGAAAUUCUGAAGAAAAUAGAUCAUCCUUGUUUAAUCAAGAUCAAAAACUUCUUUGAAGCAGAGGAUUACUACAUUGUUUUGGAAUUGAUGGAAGGAGGAGAAUUGUAUGACAGGGUGUCAAGGCCAAUCAAGAUGAAAGAAGCUACCUGCAAGUUGUAUUUUUAUCAGAUGCUGCUGGCUGUAAAGUAUCUCCAUGACAAUGGAAUUAUACACCGCGAUCUAAAGCCAGAGAAUGUGCUACUUUCAUCUUCUGAAGAGACAUGUCUUAUAAAGAUUACAGAUUUUGGACAAUCCAAGAUUCUUGGAGAAACUUCUCUUAUGAAAACAUUAUGUGGUACUCCCACGUACCUUGCUCCUGAGGUUCUAAAUUCACUUGGGACUGCUGGAUACAGCCGAGCUGUGGACUGCUGGAGUUUAGGAGUUAUUCUUUUUGUAUGCUUGUGUGGAUAUCCACCAUUUAAUGAGCAAAAUACUCGGCUAUCUCUGAAAGAUCAAAUCACUCGUGGAGAAUACACGUUCAUUCCAAAAGAAUGGAAGCAUGUAUCAGACAUGGCUCUGGAUCUUGUGAAGAAGCUGUUAGUAGUGGAUCCAAGCAAACGUCUUAAAACAGAGGAGGCCUUAGAGCAUCCUUGGCUUCAGGUGAUGUAUGCUGCCUGCUUGGAAGGCCAACAUCCGAUAUGUUCAGUUCUAGAUAUCACACACGUGAAUACUACCACCAAAAGAGCUCCUUGAAUGCUGUUACUGUGAGUAGUGAGAAGGAGUUACUGGCUCCCCACUCCCUCUUGUGUUGUCUGUUGCCUGGCAUAUACCAAGAGCACCCCGGUCACUGGCAGCUGAACCAGCAUGAGGAUGAGGAUAUGAAGAAUACAUUUGAACAGCUGCUUGCUCAGACACAUGGCAGUAUGAAUCCACCGCAAACAUCAAAAAUGCCGACCAGAAAGCGUCUCCAUGAAAAUGAGGAAGAAUCUGGCUCUUCUAAACAUGCUGUUCCUUCUACAUCAUUUCAGAAAAUGAGGUGAAAAAAAAAAAAAAAGAGAAA